CUCUUAUCAAGAGUGGUGGAGGGACUGGCCCGAUGAAACCCGGCAACCGGCAUUUAUAUGCGUCUGGUGCCAAAUCCUGCAGGUUAGGGUGUCUAACCUGAGAGAUGAGAG
This 111-nucleotide non-coding RNA is filed under the name Thermoanaerobacter pseudethanolicus ATCC 33223. RNAcentral describes it as "SAM riboswitch aptamer (S box leader)". It matches the Rfam family "SAM riboswitch aptamer (S box leader)". From Rfam's summary of the family: The SAM riboswitch is found upstream of a number of genes which code for proteins involved in methionine or cysteine biosynthesis in Gram-positive bacteria. Lineage: Bacteria; Bacillati; Bacillota; Clostridia; Thermoanaerobacterales; Thermoanaerobacteraceae. The record is from Rfam by way of RNAcentral.